Molecule: ribosomal RNA, 506 nt
Filed under: uncultured bacterium
Lineage: Bacteria
Description: partial 16S ribosomal RNA
Rfam family: Bacterial small subunit ribosomal RNA
Source: RNAcentral
GAUGAACGCUAGCUACAGGCUUAACACAUGCAAGUCGAGGGGUAACGAGAGGAAAGCUUGCUUUCCUUGUCGACGACCGGCGCACGGGUGAGUAACGCGUAUCCAACCUGCCCCCAACUAGGGAAUAACCUUGCGAAAGUAAGACUAAUACCCUAUAAUUUCCUCAGAUGUCAUCUGACGAGGAAUAAAGAUUUAUCGGUUGUGGAUGGGGAUGCGUCUGAUUAGCUUGUUGGCGGGGUAACGGCCCACCAAGGCAACGAUCAGUAGGGGUUCUGAGGGGAAGGUCCCCCACAUUGGAGCUUAGACACGGUCCAAACUCCUACGGGAGGAAGCAGUGAGGAAUAUUGGUCAAUGGGCGGAAGCCUGAACCAGCCAAGUAGCGUGCAGGAUGACGGCCCUAUGGGUUGUAAACUGCUUUUAUACAGGAAUAAAGUUAGCCACGUGUGGUUAUUUGUAGGUACUGUAUGAAUAAGGACCGGCUAAUUCCGUGCCAGCAGCCGCCGCCG